Molecule: ribosomal RNA, 440 nt
Filed under: uncultured bacterium
Lineage: Bacteria
Description: partial 16S ribosomal RNA
Rfam family: Bacterial small subunit ribosomal RNA
Source: RNAcentral
CCUACGGGUGGCAGCAGUGGGGAAUAUUGCACAAUGGGGGAAACCCUGAUGCAGCGACGCCGCGUGAGUGAAGAAGUAAUUCGUUAUGUAAAGCUCUAUCAGCAGGGAAGAAAAUGACGGUACCUGAGUAAGAAGCCCCGGCUAACUACGUGCCAGCAGCCGCGGUAAUACGUAGGGGGCAAGCGUUAUCCGGAUUUACUGGGUGUAAGGGGAGCGUAGACGGCAGUGCAAGUCUGGGGUGAAAGGCGGGGGCUCAACCCCCGGACUGCUCUGGAAACUGUACGGCUGGAGUGCGGGAGAGGAUAGUGGAAUUCCUGGUGUAGCGGUGAAAUGCGUAGAUAUUAGGAGGAACACCAGGGGCGAAGGCGACUUACGGGAAUGUAACUGACGUUGAGGCGCGAAAGCGUGGGGAGCAAACAGGAUUAGAUACCCGAGUAGUC